GGCUUUGGUGCUUGUGUGAGCUAUCUCAGAAGCGUCUGAGCAGCAGAUGGGGGAACGUGCAAUUGAAGGUUGACCUCCCCUUAGACCUGUGUUUUCCUCUGGUGGUGGCUUCAAGACUAGCCUCUACACAACAAACGAUGUAGCAGCAGGUGGUCACAGAUCUCCCCUCAAACCAGCCCAGCCAAGAUUUUUGGCCCACCUACAAUAUGGAACCAAAACAAAGAAUACCUAAAGGCUGUGCUGGACAGAUCAGAGCUUUUAAUCAAAGGUGCAGUGUUCUGGAAAGGAAAAGCACUCUCUUCAGUCCACAUACGCCUCCUGUUUACCCCACAGCUGGAGGGAGGGAGCACUCACAGCUGGGAGACAAGUCAGAGUGAGAUGGUUUUUGUU
This 390-nucleotide long non-coding RNA is filed under the name Chinchilla lanigera (long-tailed chinchilla). RNAcentral's name for it is "lncRNA (ENSCLAG00000023105.1)". Lineage: Eukaryota; Metazoa; Chordata; Mammalia; Rodentia; Chinchillidae. The record is from RNAcentral.